RNAcentral lists this transfer RNA (80 nucleotides) under Melampsora larici-populina 98AG31. Its description in RNAcentral is "tRNA-Val for anticodon UAC". It matches the Rfam family "tRNA". Rfam says of the family: Transfer RNA (tRNA) molecules are approximately 80 nucleotides in length. Their secondary structure includes four short double-helical elements and three loops (D, anti-codon, and T loops). The record is from Rfam by way of RNAcentral. Lineage: Eukaryota; Fungi; Basidiomycota; Pucciniomycetes; Pucciniales; Melampsoraceae.
GGUUCCAUAAUUCAGUGGUAGAAUGCCUGCUUUACAUGUUGAUGCGCAGUAUGUCGAGGGUUUGAUCCCCUCUGGGAUCA